UGAGAGCCAGGCGGUGCAGUCGGUGGAGAGCAACUGCAGCGCAUGGCUCUAAAAACUGCGGCCGCCUCGCUCUUGUGGUUUUAUCGCCGUCCACUUUUGUAAUACGUCAGAGCAAGUCGGGAUGAAGUCGGACACAAAACUAACCAGCAUGCAUUGUGCGCCGAUCGCCCGUGAUCGAAUCUGCGCAGGCCUGGCUCAUCUCAAACGAACCUAGUGUUGCAACAAAGGACAUACCCUUCAGGGGCAGAAAAAAGAAAAAGAAAGAAAGAGGAAGAGGAGAAAAGACAACAAGAUAAAGGAGCACUGUUAAAGUAUUUUGGAGGAGGCACUGACUCAGUCCAGGGGCAGUCCACCUCCUCAGGCUCAGCCAAGGCUAAUUAAACAGAUCCAUCUCCAUCCUCUGACCCAUCCUCUGUGCCCACUGUCUCCUCUGUGUCUGCUGCAACCUCAGCUCUACCUGGGGCCUGUAUCACGAAGCGAGAUCAACCUUUCCUGGGUUACCCAGACCUAUCCUGGGUUGACUAACCCUAACAAUGGCAAUCAGGAUAAUCGGUAUCACGACGCUGGAUAUCAACUCGGUAACUCAACCCAGGGUUGCUUUAUCAAGAGCCGUGAACGCGCACGCAGCGGACCAAUCACAAUCAUGAGAGAAGCGCAGCGUCA
Molecule: long non-coding RNA, 663 nt
Organism: Epinephelus fuscoguttatus (brown-marbled grouper)
Lineage: Eukaryota; Metazoa; Chordata; Actinopteri; Perciformes; Serranidae
Exons: 3
Source: RefSeq, a predicted model, not a curated record